Molecule: ribosomal RNA, 434 nt
Filed under: uncultured bacterium
Lineage: Bacteria
Description: bacterial SSU rRNA
Rfam family: Bacterial small subunit ribosomal RNA
Source: RNAcentral
AACGAACGCUGGCGGCAUGCCUAACACAUGCAAGUCGAACGAGACCUUCGGGUCUAGUGGCGCACGGGUGCGUAACGCGUGGGAAUCUGCCCCUCGGUUCGGAAUAACACAGAGAAAUUUGUGCUAAUACCGGAUAAUGACGAAAGUCCAAAGAUUUAUCGCCGAGGGAUGAGCCCGCGUAGGAUUAGGCUAGUUGGUGGGGUAAAAGCCUACCAAGGCGACGAUCCUUAGCUGGUCUGAGAGGAUGAUCAGCCACACUGGGACUGAGACACGGCCCAGACUCCUACGGGAGGCAGCAGUGGGGAAUAUUGGACAAUGGGCGAAAGCCUGAUCCAGCAAUGCCGCGUGAGUGAUGAAGGCCCUAGGGUUGUAAAGCUCUUUUACCAGGGAUGAUAAUGACAGUACCUGGAGAAUAAGCUCCGGCUAACUCCGUG